This 430-nucleotide ribosomal RNA is filed under the name Citrobacter freundii. RNAcentral's name for it is "bacterial SSU rRNA". It matches the Rfam family "Bacterial small subunit ribosomal RNA", at positions 39 to 465 of the family's 1533-position model. The record is from RNAcentral. Lineage: Bacteria; Pseudomonadati; Pseudomonadota; Gammaproteobacteria; Enterobacterales; Enterobacteriaceae.
GCGGCAGGCCUAACACAUGCAAGUCGAACGGUAGCACAGAGGAGCUUGCUCCUUGGGUGACGAGUGGCGGACGGGUGAGUAAUGUCUGGGAAACUGCCCGAUGGAGGGGGAUAACUACUGGAAACGGUAGCUAAUACCGCAUAACGUCGCAAGACCAAAGAGGGGGACCUUCGGGCCUCUUGCCAUCGGAUGUGCCCAGAUGGGAUUAGCUAGUAGGUGGGGUAACGGCUCACCUAGGCGACGAUCCCUAGCUGGUCUGAGAGGAUGACCAGCCACACUGGAACUGAGACACGGUCCAGACUCCUACGGGAGGCAGCAGUGGGGAAUAUUGCACAAUGGGCGCAAGCCUGAUGCAGCCAUGCCGCGUGUAUGAAGAAGGCCUUCGGGUUGUAAAGUACUUUCAGCGAGGAGGAAGGCAAUACGGUUAAUA